GCAGUCGACGAGAGAGAGGGAGCUUGCUUCCUUGAUCGAGUGGCGAACGGGUGAGUAACGCGUGAGGAACCUGCCUCAAAGAGGGGGACAACAGUUGGAAACGACUGCUAAUACCGCAUAAGCCCACGGCUCGGCAUCGAGCAGAGGGAAAAGGAGCGAUCCGCUUUGAGAUGGCCUCGCGUCCGAUUAGCUAGUUGGUGAGGUAACGGCCCACCAAGGCGACGAUCGGUAGCCGGACUGAGAGGUUGAACGGCCACAUUGGGACUGAGACACGGCCCAGACUCCUACGGGAGGCAGCAGUGGGGAAUAUUGCACAAUGGGGGAAACCCUGAUGCAGCGACGCCGCGUGGAGGAAGAAGGUCUUCGGAUUGUAAACUCCUGUUGUUGAGGAAGAUAAUGACGGUACUCAACAAGGAAGUGACGGCUAACUACGUGCCAGCAGCCGCGGUAAAACGUAGGUCACAAGCGUUGUCCGGAAUUACUGGGUGUAAAGGGAGCGCAGGCGGGAGAACAAGUUGGAAGUGAAAUCCAUGGGCUCAACCCAUGAACUGCUUUCAAAACUGUUUUUCUUGAGUAGUGCAGAGGUAGGCGGAAUUCCCGGUGUAGCGGUGGAAUGCGUAGAUAUCGGGAGGAACACCAGUGGCGAAGGCGGCCUACUGGGCACCAACUGACGCUGAGGCUCGAAAGUGUGGGUAGCAAACAGGAUUAGAUACCCUGGUAGUCCACACCGUAAACGAUGAUUACUAGGUGUUGGAGGAUUGACCCCUUCAGUGCCGCAGUUAACACAAUAAGUAAUC
Molecule: ribosomal RNA, 797 nt
Filed under: uncultured bacterium
Lineage: Bacteria
Description: bacterial SSU rRNA
Rfam family: Bacterial small subunit ribosomal RNA
Source: RNAcentral